This 1014-nucleotide ribosomal RNA is filed under the name Catostylus mosaicus. Its description in RNAcentral is "eukaryotic LSU rRNA". It matches the Rfam family "Eukaryotic large subunit ribosomal RNA", at positions 124 to 946 of the family's 3401-position model. Lineage: Eukaryota; Metazoa; Cnidaria; Scyphozoa; Rhizostomeae; Catostylidae. The record is from RNAcentral.
CCGUUGCCUGCAACGGCGAAUUGUAGUCUCGAGAAGCGUUUUCCCGGCGGAUCCUACCUGCCAAAGUUGCUUGGAACAGCACAUCGGAGAGGGUGACAAUCCCGUUCGUGGCAGGGCGGACCGCACACGAUACGCUUUCCAUGAGUCGGGUUGCUUGGGAAUGCAGCCCAAAAUUGGUGGUAAACUCCAUCUAAAGCUGAAUAUUGGCACGAGACCGAUAGCGAACAAGUACCGUGAGGGAAAGAUGAAAAGAACUUUGAAAAGAGAGUUAAAAAGUGCGUGAAACCGUUGGAGGGGAAGCGGAUGGAGUUAGCAAUGCUCCUGCGAGAUUCAGGCGAUCGCUUGGCUUGACGUGCUGCUGGCGGAUCUGAAUGGACUGUCGUUGCACGGCCUCGCCUCGUGUCCGCCGCACUUCUCGAAGGGGUGCGUCAACAGCUGCUGGUCUGCCGGGCUACACGGCAUCUGCGGAAGGUAGGCGUCCGGUUCGCCGGGCGUUGUUAUAGCCGCUAGUGUCCCAGCUCGGCUCCGGCAGAGGUGAGCGGUGCAUGCUCUUUACGGGCUGGCGUCCUGUUCCGUUCUCCGAGUCGUCCGGGGUGAACUGCGUGCAGUUCGUCUCGGCAGGCGAAGAGGCGUGCAGUCAACGCACACGAUGCACCAUGGUUGUUGGCGGCCAUAUGGCUUUAUCCGACCCGUCUUGAAACACGGACCAAGGAGUCUAACAUGUGCGCGAGUCUUGGGGUGACCGAAACCCAGAGGCGCAAUGAAAGUGAAGGCUGCCUGGCAGCUGAGGUGAGAUCGCAGUCUCGCUUGCGGGACGGCGCGCAUCAUCGACCGACCUAUUCUACUCUUAGAAAGGUUUGAGUAAGAGCGUACGUGCUGGGACCCGAAAGAUGGUGAACUAUGCCUGAGUAGGGUGAAGCCAGAGGAAACUCUGGUGGAAGCUCGUAGCGAUUCUGACGUGCAAAUCGAUCGUCGAACUUGGGUAUAGGGGCGAAAGACUAAUCGAACCAUCUA